This 407-nucleotide ribosomal RNA is filed under the name uncultured beta proteobacterium. RNAcentral describes it as "bacterial SSU rRNA". It matches the Rfam family "Bacterial small subunit ribosomal RNA", at positions 9 to 418 of the family's 1533-position model. The record is from RNAcentral. Lineage: Bacteria; Pseudomonadati; Pseudomonadota; Betaproteobacteria.
GAGUUUGAUCAUGGCUCAGAUUGAACGCUGGCGGCAUGCCUUACACAUGCAAGUCGAACGGCAGCACGGGGGCAACCCUGGUGGCGAGUGGCGAACGGGUGAGUAAUGCAUCGGAAUGUGUCCUCUUGUGGGGGAUAACCAGUCGAAAGACUGGCUAAUACCGCAUGAGCUCGAGAGAGGAAAGCGGGGGAUCGCAAGACCUCGCGCGAGAGGGGCAGCCGAUGCCCGAUUAGCUAGUUGGCGGGGUAAGAGCCCACCAAGGCGACGAUCGGUAGCUGGUCUGAGAGGACGGCCAGCCACACUGGGACUGAGACACGGCCCAGACUCCUACGGGAGGCAGCAGUGGGGAAUUUUGGACAAUGGGCGCAAGCCUGAUCCAGCCAUGCCGCGUGUGUGAAGAAGGCCUU